Mesocricetus auratus (golden hamster) is the source of this 1199-nucleotide long non-coding RNA. RefSeq lists it as uncharacterized. The record is from RefSeq and is a predicted model, not a curated record. The transcript is spliced from 4 exons. Lineage: Eukaryota; Metazoa; Chordata; Mammalia; Rodentia; Cricetidae.
GCGCGGCCAGGAGGGGUGGGUGGGGUCAGGCGCUGAUGGGACUGGAGAUGAGACGCUAAGCCAGAACUGAGCCAGAGGUGAGGCUACCGCCGCUGGAGGAGAGACUUUCCCCGCCCAAGGCAUGCUCAGCUGGAGGACGGACGCUGGCCCACCUUGAGAUUUGACUCACGUCUCUGGAUUCCUCGAGGAUACCUGCCAAUCGUCUUGUAAAUCCGUUUGAAGUCUAAGUAACUGCCCACACUUCCCUCGCUAGUUGGCCUGUAAUUAUUAGAAUGUUCUUAAGUGAAGACCUGCGCAAGGUUUUCUUGGAGGCUGGAACCAUGCGUAUGAAGUGAAUCUUGGUCUUAACGCGCAUCAACCCAUAUUCUGUGAAUAAGAGAAAGUAGUGCACAGCUGUAUACCUGUUUCACCUAUUCAAAGUCAGAGCUUUAUCCUCCAGGAAGCCCUUCCCAACCCAACCACCAGAACCCUGGCUGGCUACCCGCAGGGCGGUGACUGCUGGCGUAUGUCUGAUGCUCUGCGGUGAACUUUUCCCUCUCAUUCUCCCCAACCUAAACUGAAUGCUAGUCAACGCUGCUUCCCGGACCACUCGUGCUGGAGAUAGAGAGACUCAGGAGGAAGUCGGAGGAAGGAAGGAAGGAAGGAAGGAAGGAAGGAAGGAAGGAAAGAAGGAGCGUGAAGUCCCUGUUUACUUAAUCCUCUGGUCUUCUGUAGAGGUCAUCUAAGGCAGUCCUCUCAAGACAAGCUAACAACUCGACUCCCUUGCCCUGGUCCCUCUGGGAUUACGGGUUGGCGGUGGGUUGAAGGAGAAUGACUCACUCCUGCUCUGGUGGCUCCUGGUUUUAUCAGAUUGUAAGCCCAUCCAAGGCUCCUCUGGAGACACCUUGUAAUCUCCCCCAUCAAAAGAAGCAACGAGGAGGGAGAUUCUUGGCUCUCUGAGUUGUAACUUGAGAGCCACCAAAAUCGUAUAUGCAGUUGGUGGUUAAGAUAACUCAGAAGUCUGUAUCCCUAAGCGUGUCUUGCUGUUUCCCUGGGCAUCUCUCCUCUCAAGCUCUAUAUUUAAAAAUCUGUGUUAAGAGCAUCUUUUCACGAAUGGCAAGUCUUCUGUGAGAAGCUCACACCCGUGCUCAGGACUGUGCUCUUAUUAUUUUCUUAAGUGCCUUACCUCCUAUUUUUAAUGAAACCCAAACUCCUCUUCA